AAAUGGACGGGCAUGAGGCGUUCCAUCACAACAAGUGAACACUCCGAGCAAAGCAGUGCAGAACUUGUCCCCGGGUGAGAAAGAUGAAUCGCGGCCUGUUGUUGUUGGCGGUGGUGUUGGUGGCGGUGUGCGUGACCACCAGUGAAGCAGGCGGAGGCGUCGGUAUAUGUCCACUAGAGACGGACUGCAUUGGACGGUCAUGCUUCUCCGACCUAGAUUGCUUGCCGAACCAAAACUGCUGUCCUACAAAAUGUGGCGGGAAAACUUGCAUAAAUGUUCGUGCGCAUGGGCUCCACUAACCACCACCACAACCACCACUUUGACCUGAGAGGAAACAUGAAUCUGAUGUUAACUGUUGCUGAUUGGUGCUGUUACAGAAUUGUGCAAUAAACCACUGGCAAAAAUAUAACUUGCUUUGUAUAUUUUUCUUGAUUUAUGUUAAUAAUUAAUUCUUUUUAUAGAAAAGGGCCAAUGCCAAGGGCAACAACAAUUUAAAAAGACCCUCAUGUUGCCAAUUUCCACACAAAAUUGGUGGAGAAAAAGAGAACAAGUGCUUUGAAACUUCCCUCUUAAUAGAGUCUGAUUCAUUAAAAGGAGGAUAACAAAAGCAAGCAAGGCGUUCCAGAGUUUACCAGAGAAAGCUAUGAAUGAGUGAGAGUACUGGUUAACUCUUGUACUGGAGAGGAGGACAGAAAGAAAGUCUUGUGCUGUGACACCUUGAGAGGAGAGGACACAUGCAGUUAACAAGAACAGAGGAGAAGUUUGCAUGAAAAUAGCGAGAGAAGAGUCAGAGAUGCAACACCCUGGCACUGAGAAAUGGGCAAAAGAAAAUCACUUAGAAGAGAGAAGUUGAUGACAUUUGAAAACAGAGCCUUGUCACUACGAU
Molecule: long non-coding RNA, 886 nt
Organism: Portunus trituberculatus (swimming crab)
Lineage: Eukaryota; Metazoa; Arthropoda; Malacostraca; Decapoda; Portunidae
Exons: 5
Source: RefSeq, a predicted model, not a curated record